This 253-nucleotide ribosomal RNA is filed under the name uncultured bacterium. RNAcentral describes it as "partial 16S ribosomal RNA". It matches the Rfam family "Bacterial small subunit ribosomal RNA", at positions 524 to 776 of the family's 1533-position model. The record is from RNAcentral.
UACGGAGGGAGCUAGCGUUGUUCGGAAUUACUGGGCGUAAAGCGCGCGUAGGCGGCUUUGUAAGUUAGAGGUGAAAGCCCGGGGCUCAACCCCGGAAUUGCCUUUAAGACUGCAUCGCUUGAAUCCGGGAGAGGUGAGUGGAAUUCCGAGUGUAGAGGUGAAAUUCGUAGAUAUUGGGAAGAACACCGGUGGCGAAGGCGGCUCACUGGCUCAUUACUGACGCUCAGGCGCGAUAGCGUGGGGAUCAAACAGG